AAAAAAACGUCAUAAUCGACAAGAUGCUCUGCACUGGACAUAGGGUCUUGUGCACGCCGAGGGUUGUCCUCACCCCCGCGUCGUGAAAAGGUGGGUUUAAUCCCCCCAACAAGCCCACCCUUCUUUUUUUUUUCCCACCCGUUAUUGGGGGGACUUCUUGGAAACCUGCCGGGUUCACCCCGAAGAAGGGGGGGAAUAA
RNAcentral lists this ribosomal RNA (199 nucleotides) under uncultured Actinomycetes bacterium. RNAcentral describes it as "uncultured actinobacterium partial 16S ribosomal RNA". Lineage: Bacteria; Bacillati; Actinomycetota; Actinomycetes. The record is from RNAcentral.